RNAcentral lists this ribosomal RNA (924 nucleotides) under uncultured bacterium. RNAcentral describes it as "bacterial SSU rRNA". It matches the Rfam family "Bacterial small subunit ribosomal RNA", at positions 9 to 931 of the family's 1533-position model. The record is from RNAcentral.
GAGUUUGAUCCUGGCUCAGGAUGAACGCUAGCGGCAGGCUUAAUACAUGCAAGUCGAGGGGCAGCGCGGGUAGCAAUACUUGGCGGCGACCGGCAAACGGGUGCGGAACACGUACGCAACCUUCCCAAAACUGGGGAAUAGCCCUCCGAAAGGAGGAUUAAUACCCCGUAACACAAUUAAGAGGCAUCUCUUGAUUGUUAUAGCUCAGGCGGUUUUGGAUGGGCGUGCGGCUGAUUAGGUAGUUGGCGGGGUAACGGCCCACCAAGCCAUCGAUCAGUAACUGGUGUGAGAGCACGACCAGUCACACGGGCACUGAGACACGGGCCCGACUCCUACGGGAGGCAGCAGUAAGGAAUAUUGGUCAAUGGACGCAAGUCUGAACCAGCCAUGCCGCGUGAAGGAUGAAGGCCCUCUGGGUUGUAAACUUCUUUUACCUGGGACGGAAAAAGGGGAUUCUUCCUCACUUGACGGUACCAGAGGAAUAAGCACCGGCUAACUCCGUGCCAGCAGCCGCGGUAAUACGGAGGGUGCAAGCGUUAUCCGGAUUCACUGGGUUUAAAGGGUGCGUAGGUGGGCAGGUAAGUCAGUGGUGAAAUCUUCGAGCUUAACUCGGAAACUGCCAUUGAUACUAUCUGUCUUGAAUAUCCUGGAGGUGAGCGGAAUAUGUCAUGUAGCGGUGAAAUGCUUAGAUAUGACAUAGAACACCAAUUGCGAAGGCAGCUCACUACGGGAUGAUUGACGCUGAGGCACGAAAGCGUGGGGAUCAAACAGGAUUAGAUACCCUGGUAGUCCACGCCCUAAACGAUGGAUACUCGACAUAUGCGAUACACUGUAUGUGUCUGAGCGAAAGCAUUAAGUAUCCCACCUGGGAAGUACGACCGCAAGGUUGAAACUCAAAGGAAUUGACGGGGGUCCGCACAAGCG